RNAcentral lists this ribosomal RNA (144 nucleotides) under uncultured bacterium. Its description in RNAcentral is "partial 16S rRNA". It matches the Rfam family "Bacterial small subunit ribosomal RNA", at positions 335 to 496 of the family's 1533-position model. The record is from RNAcentral.
ACUCCUACGGGAGGCAGCAGUGGGGAAUAUUGCACAAUGGGGGAAACCCUGAUGCAGCGACGCCGCGUGAAGGAAGAAGUAUUUCGGUAUGUAAACUUCUAUCAGCAGGGAAGAAAAUGACGGUACCUGACUAAGAAGCCCCGG